Molecule: non-coding RNA, 106 nt
Organism: Gossypium arboreum
Lineage: Eukaryota; Viridiplantae; Streptophyta; Magnoliopsida; Malvales; Malvaceae
Source: Rfam
AUACCGUGAUAAGGGCAUCUACUUAGUAACUCCUUGAUUCUUUUCCAGGCCUCAUAUAAGGACUCAUGGUCCAAUUUCUGAAAAGUCGUAAUCUCAUUCUGCAACU